GGGAGGGGUAGGAUAACCAUAUUGUGUGCUCAUUUUUCAGCCUCCUGAUUGUUAGGUCAUCUGCUUUCUAUAUAUAUAUGCAGAAAGGAAUCACAAAUUAAAGGGUCACUGUUUAUAACAAAUACUAUUUAUAAAAAUGCUCUCAGAUGACUACAGGCCACUCCUUUGUCGAGAAACUCGGCUACGAAGAAGAACCAUUCGCUAAAGAAGUUCGUUCACAGGCAUCGAGAGAGGACUUCAAUCCUAGUCGAACACCCACCGUUAAGAUGGCUGGCCACGACUGAGUUCCUGACGUCGGUGCACCCUGGCUGUUGCCUUCCUCCAUUGGGGAAGAAGUCCACGUGGCCGAUGGGCCCGAGUAGAC
Molecule: long non-coding RNA, 364 nt
Organism: Orussus abietinus
Lineage: Eukaryota; Metazoa; Arthropoda; Insecta; Hymenoptera; Orussidae
Exons: 3
Source: RefSeq, a predicted model, not a curated record